CUGAUGGCAACAGAAUUUCAGACAGUACAGAAAUGUGGCAGCUACUGCAGCAGCCUGUGCAGAAUGGAUUUGCAGAGGACUUCAUAAAUUGCACAUGUUAAGAAUGUAGAAAGAUUCCAGUGUUUUCUCAACGGCAACUAUCAGGCUAAC
This is a long non-coding RNA of Pristis pectinata (smalltooth sawfish), 150 nucleotides long. RefSeq lists it as uncharacterized. The record is from RefSeq and is a predicted model, not a curated record. The transcript is spliced from 3 exons. NCBI's taxonomy places the organism in Eukaryota, Metazoa, Chordata, Chondrichthyes, Rhinopristiformes, Pristidae.